RNAcentral lists this unclassified non-coding RNA (193 nucleotides) under soil metagenome. RNAcentral describes it as "partial contains 5.8S ribosomal RNA, internal transcribed spacer 2, and large subunit ribosomal RNA". The record is from RNAcentral.
AACGCACGAGACCUGCGGACCUGCGGAGGGAUCAUUACCGAGUUAUCCAACUCCCAACCCCUGUGAAUUAUACCUUUAAUUGUUGCUUCGGCGGGACUUCGCGCCCGCCGGGGACCCAAACCUUCUGAAUUUUUUAAUAAGUAUCUUCUGAGUUGUUAAAAAAAUGAAUCAAAACUUUUAACAAUGGAUCUCU